RNAcentral lists this ribosomal RNA (471 nucleotides) under uncultured bacterium. RNAcentral's name for it is "bacterial SSU rRNA". It matches the Rfam family "Bacterial small subunit ribosomal RNA", at positions 355 to 825 of the family's 1533-position model. The record is from RNAcentral.
UGGGGAAUUUUGGACAAUGGGGGCAACCCUGAUCCAGCAAUGCCGCGUGAGUGAAGAAGGCCUUCGGGUUGUAAAGCUCUUUUGUCAGGGAAGAAACGGUAGUAGCGAAUAACUAUUACUAAUGACGGUACCUGAAGAAUAAGCACCGGCUAACUACGUGCCAGCAGCCGCGGUAAUACGUAGGGUGCAAGCGUUAAUCGGAAUUACUGGGCGUAAAGCGUGCGCAGGCGGUUGUGUAAGUCAGAUGUGAAAUCCCCGGGCUCAACCUGGGAAUUGCAUUUGAGACUGCACGGCUAGAGUGUGUCAGAGGGGGGUAGAAUUCCACGUGUAGCAGUGAAAUGCGUAGAUAUGUGGAGGAAUACCGAUGGCGAAGGCAGCCCCUGGGAUAACACUGACGCUCAUGCACGAAAGCGUGGGGAGCAAACAGGAUUAGAUACCCAAGUAGUCCCUGAGCGGGCUGGCAAGGCGCAU